GACGAACGCUGGCGGCGUGCUUAACACAUGCAAGUCGAACGCGCCUGUCCUCUGGGUUUCUGGGGGGUGGGUGAGUGGCGAACGGGUGAGUAACACGUGAGUAACCUGCCCCCUUCUUCGGGAUAACGGUCUGAAAGGGCUGCUAAUACCGGGUAUUCACUGGUCUCCGCAUGGGGUCUGGUGGAAAGGUUUUUUUCUGGUGGGGGAUGGGCUCGCGGCCUAUCAGCUUGUUGGUGGGGUGAUGGCCCACCAAGGCUUUGACGGGUAGCCGGCCUGAGAGGGUGACCGGUCACAUUGGGACUGAGAUACGGCCCAGACUCCUACGGGAGGCAGCAGUGGGGGAUAUUGCACAAUGGGCGCAAGCCUGAUGCAGCGACGCCGCGUGAGGGAUGGAGGCCUUCGGGUUGUGAACCUCUUUCGCCCGUGGUCAAGCCGCGACGUGGGUCGUGGUGAGGGUAGUGGGUAAAGAAGCGCCGGCUAACUACGUG
Molecule: ribosomal RNA, 488 nt
Filed under: uncultured bacterium
Lineage: Bacteria
Description: partial 16S ribosomal RNA
Rfam family: Bacterial small subunit ribosomal RNA
Source: RNAcentral